RNAcentral lists this unclassified non-coding RNA (342 nucleotides) under Hevea brasiliensis (rubber tree). Lineage: Eukaryota; Viridiplantae; Streptophyta; Magnoliopsida; Malpighiales; Euphorbiaceae. The record is from RNAcentral.
ACUAAUUCCUCAAAGCAUCUUAGCAGAUCUAAGCCCGUGAGUGACUUGCCACAACUAAAUGCACAUGGUUGAAUCCAGCCCAAGUAUUGAUAAUCAAGAAAGAGUCAUGAUGUUAAGUUCGGAUAUAAAAUUGAAAUCCAGUCUUUCAAAUUGUUUAAAUUAAGAUCUGGCUGGACUAAUACAAAAAGAGAGAAAGCAUUACUCCAGGAAACAUUGCAAAGUAUAUUUGAAAUUACACUUAUGUCUAUCAUCAAGCAAGUUUUCCACACAUUCGUGAGCUCAUUACAAAAAAGAAAACUUAUGCAUUUUGACAACUCAAUUAACUUAAACUGAAAAACUAAA